The sequence is a ribosomal RNA, 333 nucleotides long. It matches the Rfam family "Bacterial small subunit ribosomal RNA", at positions 1 to 929 of the family's 1533-position model. The record is from Rfam.
GUGGGGGGGGGGGGGGUAGGGUGGGGGGUGGGAGGGGGGGAGGGGCGGGAGGGAGAGGGGGAGAGGAAAUUUAUAGGAUAGGGGUGAACUACGUAGAUGUAAGAAGGAACACGGAGGGCGAGGGCGUUCACUUGACUAUUUGCUGACACUAAGGCACGAAAGGGUGGGGAGCGAAGGGGAUUAGAUCCCCCGGUAGCCCACGCCGAAAACUAUGGAUGCUAGCUGUUAGAAGUAUCGCCCCUUCUAGUAGCGAAGCUAACGCGUUAAGCAUCCCGCCUGUGGAGUACGGCCGCAAGGCUAAAACAUAAAGGAAUUGACGGGGACCCGCACAAG